Molecule: ribosomal RNA, 231 nt
Filed under: Clostridioides sp. ZZV14-6104
Lineage: Bacteria; Bacillati; Bacillota; Clostridia; Peptostreptococcales; Peptostreptococcaceae
Description: partial 16S ribosomal RNA
Rfam family: Bacterial small subunit ribosomal RNA
Source: RNAcentral
GGUGAUCGGCCACAUUGGAACUGAGACACGGUCCAAACUCCUACGGGAGGCAGCAGUGGGGAAUAUUGCACAAUGGGCGAAAGCCUGAUGCAGCAACGGCGGGGGAGUGGUGGAGGCUUGCGGGUCGGAAAACGCUGUCCUCAAGGAAGAUAAUGACGGUACUUGUGGAGGAAGCCGCGGCUAACUACGUGCCAGCAGCCGCGGUAAUACGUAGGGGGCUAGCGUUAUCCG